RNAcentral lists this ribosomal RNA (843 nucleotides) under Glottidia pyramidata. RNAcentral's name for it is "12S ribosomal RNA". It matches the Rfam family "Bacterial small subunit ribosomal RNA", at positions 488 to 1533 of the family's 1533-position model. Lineage: Eukaryota; Metazoa; Brachiopoda; Lingulata; Lingulida; Lingulidae. The record is from RNAcentral.
GGUAAAGGACGAAUGCCAGCAACCGCGGUUAAAUUCACACGGGGACUUAUGCGUCUAAAGGUGGGAAGCCCUUUGCGGGGUUGUACUACUGGGGAAGCGCAUAUGCGGGCGAGCUUCAAGGGAUGGCGGCAGAAGAGACAGUUAGACACAGUAGAAUAAGAGGCUUUGGGACAUAUCUUGUAAGGGGUCUAAUCCGUAUCAAGUAUAAAAAGCGCGCUAGCCUGAUAGUUGAAGCUGUGAAAACUAGAGAAUCGACCGGGAUUAGAGACCCCGCUAGUCCUAGUCGUUAAUAUGCUGACCUCUUCAGCGUAUCUGGAGAUAUUCAAGGUUGUAAGCUACCGGUUAACUACGUGUUGAUGUGCAUAAAAGACGAAGGGGUAGACGGCCUUAUUUGAGAGCAUCAGGGGAACUUGAUCUUUCAUCCGAUGAUCCCCGUUUAACCUUACUUUAACUGGUUGUGCGAUUACUACCGGGGUAGAGUAAUAUGUUUAUAUAUGAAAGAACUCCCUGCACAGGUGUUAUAUCGCUGCAGUUGCAAGUCUUUCGACUGUGCAUAUACUCGCAAUUCCGUGUUGGCGUUAGUAAGAUUUACUGCGCAUGCGGGGGAAGGCAAGUCGACAUGUCCCUUAAGUUAAAGGCUACGAUUGAGUUACAAUAUACCUAUAAAGUUAUCCGGAGUAUGUUUGAAAUAGGCAUAUGAAGGAGGACUUGUAAGUAAUUUUGGUUUAGAAAGCCAUUUUGAAUACUGUUUAACGGAAGGUGUACUAACCGCCCGUCACCCGGGGUUAGCGCCCUGGUAAGUCGUAACAAGGUAGGCGUACGGGAACGUGUGCCUGAAAAUCA